RNAcentral lists this ribosomal RNA (2902 nucleotides) under Klebsiella pneumoniae. RNAcentral describes it as "23S ribosomal RNA". It matches the Rfam family "Bacterial large subunit ribosomal RNA". The record is from RNAcentral. Lineage: Bacteria; Pseudomonadati; Pseudomonadota; Gammaproteobacteria; Enterobacterales; Enterobacteriaceae.
GGUUAAGCGACUAAGCGUGCACGGUGGAUGCCCUGGCAGUCAGAGGCGAUGAAGGACGUGCUAAUCUGCGAAAAGCGUCGGUAAGGUGAUAUGAACCGUUACAGCCGGCGAUGUCCGAAUGGGGAAACCCAGUGCAAUUCGUUGCACUAUCGUUAACUGAAUACAUAGGUUAACGAGGCGAACCGGGGGAACUGAAACAUCUAAGUACCCCGAGGAAAAGAAAUCAACCGAGAUUCCCCCAGUAGCGGCGAGCGAACGGGGAGCAGCCCAGAGUCUGAAUCAGCUUGUGUGUUAGUGGAACGGUCUGGAAAGUCCGACGGUACAGGGUGAUAGUCCCGUACACCAAAAUGCACAGGCUGUGAACUCGAAGAGUAGGGCGGGACACGUGGUAUCCUGUCUGAAUAUGGGGGGACCAUCCUCCAAGGCUAAAUACUCCUGACUGACCGAUAGUGAACCAGUACCGUGAGGGAAAGGCGAAAAGAACCCCGGCGAGGGGAGUGAAAAAGAACCUGAAACCGUGUACGUACAAGCAGUGGGAGCACCUUCGGGUGUGACUGCGUACCUUUUGUAUAAUGGGUCAGCGACUUAUAUUCUGUAGCAAGGUUAACCGUAUAGGGGAGCCGCAGGGAAACCGAGUCUUAACUGGGCGUUAAGUUGCAGGGUAUAGACCCGAAACCCGGUGAUCUAGCCAUGGGCAGGUUGAAGGUUGGGUAACACUAACUGGAGGACCGAACCGACUAAUGUUGAAAAAUUAGCGGAUGACUUGUGGCUGGGGGUGAAAGGCCAAUCAAACCGGGAGAUAGCUGGUUCUCCCCGAAAGCUAUUUAGGUAGCGCCUCGUGAAUUCAUCUUCGGGGGUAGAGCACUGUUUCGGCUAGGGGGUCAUCCCGACUUACCAACCCGAUGCAAACUACGAAUACCGAAGAAUGUUAUCACGGGAGACACACGGCGGGUGCUAACGUCCGUCGUGAAGAGGGAAACAACCCAGACCGCCAGCUAAGGUCCCAAAGUCAUGGUUAAGUGGGAAACGAUGUGGGAAGGCACAGACAGCCAGGAUGUUGGCUUAGAAGCAGCCAUCAUUUAAAGAAAGCGUAAUAGCUCACUGGUCGAGUCGGCCUGCGCGGAAGAUGUAACGGGGCUAAACCAUGCACCGAAGCUGCGGCAGCGACACUAUGUGUUGUUGGGUAGGGGAGCGUUCUGUAAGCCUGCGAAGGUGUGCUGUGAGGCAUGCUGGAGGUAUCAGAAGUGCGAAUGCUGACAUAAGUAACGAUAAAGCGGGUGAAAAGCCCGCUCGCCGGAAGACCAAGGGUUCCUGUCCAACGUUAAUCGGGGCAGGGUGAGUCGACCCCUAAGGCGAGGCCGAAAGGCGUAGUCGAUGGGAAACAGGUUAAUAUUCCUGUACUUGGUGUUACUGCGAAGGGGGGACGGAGAAGGCUAUGUUAGCCGGGCGACGGUUGUCCCGGUUUAAGCAUGUAGGCUGGUUGUCCAGGCAAAUCCGGAUAAUCAAGGCUGAGGUGUGAUGACGAGGCACUACGGUGCUGAAGUAACAAAUGCCCUGCUUCCAGGAAAAGCCUCUAAGCAUCAGGUAACAUUAAAUCGUACCCCAAACCGACACAGGUGGUCAGGUAGAGAAUACCAAGGCGCUUGAGAGAACUCGGGUGAAGGAACUAGGCAAAAUGGUGCCGUAACUUCGGGAGAAGGCACGCUGGUGUGUAGGUGAAGUCCCUGCGGAUGGAGCUGAGACCAGUCGAAGAUACCAGCUGGCUGCAACUGUUUAUUAAAAACACAGCACUGUGCAAACACGAAAGUGGACGUAUACGGUGUGACGCCUGCCCGGUGCCGGAAGGUUAAUUGAUGGGGUUAUCCGUAAGGAGAAGCUCUUGAUCGAAGCCCCGGUAAACGGCGGCCGUAACUAUAACGGUCCUAAGGUAGCGAAAUUCCUUGUCGGGUAAGUUCCGACCUGCACGAAUGGCGUAAUGAUGGCCAGGCUGUCUCCACCCGAGACUCAGUGAAAUUGAACUCGCUGUGAAGAUGCAGUGUACCCGCGGCAAGACGGAAAGACCCCGUGAACCUUUACUAUAGCUUGACACUGAACAUUGAGCCUUGAUGUGUAGGAUAGGUGGGAGGCUUUGAAGCGUGGACGCCAGUCUGCGUGGAGCCAACCUUGAAAUACCACCCUUUAAUGUUUGAUGUUCUAACGUUGGCCCCUUACCGGGGUUGCGGACAGUGUCUGGUGGGUAGUUUGACUGGGGCGGUCUCCUCCCAAAGCGUAACGGAGGAGCACGAAGGUUAGCUAAUCCUGGUCGGACAUCAGGAGGUUAGUGCAAUGGCAUAAGCUAGCUUGACUGCGAGCGUGACGGCGCGAGCAGGUGCGAAAGCAGGUCAUAGUGAUCCGGUGGUUCUGAAUGGAAGGGCCAUCGCUCAACGGAUAAAAGGUACUCCGGGGAUAACAGGCUGAUACCGCCCAAGAGUUCAUAUCGACGGCGGUGUUUGGCACCUCGAUGUCGGCUCAUCACAUCCUGGGGCUGAAGUAGGUCCCAAGGGUAUGGCUGUUCGCCAUUUAAAGUGGUACGCGAGCUGGGUUUAGAACGUCGUGAGACAGUUCGGUCCCUAUCUGCCGUGGGCGCUGGAGAAUUGAGGGGGGCUGCUCCUAGUACGAGAGGACCGGAGUGGACGCAUCACUGGUGUUCGGGUUGUCAUGCCAAUGGCACUGCCCGGUAGCUAAAUGCGGAAGAGAUAAGUGCUGAAAGCAUCUAAGCACGAAACUUGCCCCGAGAUGAGUUCUCCCUGAGACUUUAAGUCUCCUGAAGGAACGUUAAAGACGAUGACGUUGAUAGGCCGGGUGUGUAAGCGCAGCGAUGCGUUGAGCUAACCGGUACUAAUGAACCGUGAGGCUUAACCUU